UAGGGAAUCUUCGGCAAUGGACGGAAGUCUGACCGAGCAACGCCGCGUGAGUGAAGAAGGUUUUCGGAUCGUAAAGCUCUGUUGUAAGAGAAGAACGAGUGUGAGAGUGGAAAGUUCACGCUGUGACGGUAUCUUACCAGAAAGGGACGGCUAACUACGUGCCAGCAGCCGCGGUAAUACGUAGGUCCCGAGCGUUGUCCGGAUUUAUUGGGCGUAAAGCGAGCGCAGGCGGUUAGAUAAGUCUGAAGUUAAAGGCUGUGGCUUAACCAUAGUACGCUUUGGAAACUGUUUAACUUGAGUGCAAGAAGGGAGAGUGGAAUUCCAUGUGUAGCGGUGAAAUGCGUAGAUAUAUGGAGGAACACCGGUGGCGAAAGCGGCUCUCUGGCUUGUAACUGACGCUGAGGCUCGAAAGCGUGGGGAGCAAACAGGAUUAGAUACCCUGGUAGUCCACGCCGUAAACGAUGAGUGCUAGGUGUUAGACCCUUUCCGGGGUUUAGUGCCGUAGCUAACGCAUUAAGCACUCCGCCUGGGGAGUACGACCGCAAGGUUG
RNAcentral lists this ribosomal RNA (550 nucleotides) under uncultured bacterium. Its description in RNAcentral is "bacterial SSU rRNA". It matches the Rfam family "Bacterial small subunit ribosomal RNA", at positions 355 to 896 of the family's 1533-position model. The record is from RNAcentral.